AGAGUUUGAUCCUGGCUCAGGACGAACGCUGGCGGCACGCUUAACACAUGCAAGUCGAACGAGAGAAGAGGAGCUUGCUUUUCUGAUCUAGUGGCGGACGGGUGAGUAACACGUGAGCAAUCUGCCUUUCAGAGGGGGAUACCGAUUGGAAACGAUCGUUAAUACCGCAUAACAUAAUUGAACCGCAUGAUUUGAUUAUCAAAGAUUUAUCGCUGAAAGAUGAGCUCGCGUCUGAUUAGCUAGUUGGUAAGGUAACGGCUUACCAAGGCGACGAUCAGUAGCCGGACUGAGAGGUUGAUCGGCCACAUUGGGACUGAGACACGGCCCAGACUCCUACGGGAGGCAGCAGUGGGGAAUAUUGCACAAUGGAGGAAACUCUGAUGCAGCGAUGCCGCGUGAGGGAAGAAGGUUUUAGGAUUGUAAACCUCUGUCUUCAGGGACGAAAAAAGACGGUACCUGAGGAGGAAGCUCCGGCUAACUACGUGCCAGCAGCCGCGGUAAUACGUAGGGAGCGAGCGUUGUCCGGAAUUACUGGGUGUAAAGGGAGCGUAGGCGGGAUCGCAAGUCAGAUGUGAAAGCUAUGGGCUUAACCCAUAAACUGCAUUUGAAACUGUGGUUCUUGAGUGAAGUAGAGGUAAGCGGAAUUCCUAGUGUAGCGGUGAAAUGCGUAGAUAUUAGGAGGAACAUCAGUGGCGAAGGCGGCUUACUGGGCUUUAACUGACGCUGAGGCUCGAAAGCGUGGGGAGCAAACAGGAUUAGAUACCCUGGUAGUCCACGCCGUAAACGAUGAUUACUAGGUGUGGGGGGACUGACCCCUUCCGUGCCGCAGCAAACGCAAUAAGUAAUCCACCUGGGGAGUACGACCGCAAGGUUGAAACUCAAAGGAAUUGACGGGGGCCCGCACAAGCAGUGGAGUAUGUGGAUUAAUUCGAAGCAACGCGAAGAACCUUACCAGGUCUUGACAUCGUAUGCAUAGCUCAGAGAUGAGUGAAAUCUCUUCGGAGACAUAUAGACAGGUGGUGCAUGGUUGUCGUCAGCUCGUGUCGUGAGAUGUUGGGUUAAGUCCCGCAACGAGCGCAACCCUUACUGUUAGUUGCUACGCAAGAGCACUCUAGCAGGACUGCCGUUGACAAAACGGAGGAAGGUGGGGAUGACGUCAAAUCAUCAUGCCCCUUAUGACCUGGGCCUCACACGUACUACAAUGGCUGUCAACAGAGGGAAGCAAAGCCGCGAGGUGGAGCGAACCCCUAAAAGCAGUCUUAGUUCGGAUUGUAGGCUGCAACCCGCCUACAUGAAGUCGGAAUUGCUAGUAAUCGCAGAUCAGCAUGCUGCGGUGAGUACGUUCCCGGGCCUUGUACACACCGCCCGUCACGCCAUGGGAGUCGGUAACACCCGAAGCCUGUAGUCUAACCGCAAGGAGGACGCAGUCGAAGGUGGGAUUGAUGACUGGGGUGAAGUCGUAACAAGGUA
Molecule: ribosomal RNA, 1470 nt
Filed under: metagenome
Description: bacterial SSU rRNA
Rfam family: Bacterial small subunit ribosomal RNA
Source: RNAcentral